This 544-nucleotide long non-coding RNA is filed under the name Zonotrichia albicollis (white-throated sparrow). Its description in RNAcentral is "lncRNA (ENSZALG00000000732.1)". The record is from RNAcentral. Lineage: Eukaryota; Metazoa; Chordata; Aves; Passeriformes; Passerellidae.
GGUUCCCACACCUGGGGCUCAGGUGUUGCAGUCCAGGUGUUCCUGCCACACCUUUUUGGGGUCCAAACUCAAUGUUUGGGGUCCACACCUGUCCAGGUGUUACCCCCACACCUUUUUGGGGUCCAAACUCAAUGUUUGGGGUCCACACCUGUCCAGGUGUUACCCCCACACCUUUUUGAGGUCCAAACUCAAUGUUUGGGUUCACACCUGUCCAGGCUCACAGGUACCGACUCCUCUCACCUGGGGCUUCAUCCACGGGGCUCAGGUGAAGACACCACACCUCACCUGUCCAGGUGUGACGUUUCAGGUUCCACACCUGUGCUGGGAUGGAGAUUCAGGGUUGCCACACCUGUGGCUCAGGUGUCACUGUCCAGGUGUUCCUGCCACACCUUUUUGGGGUCCAAAUGCAAUUUUUGGGUUCACACCUGUCUGGGCUCACAGGUACCGACUCCUCUCACCUGGGGCUUCAUCCACGGGGCUCAGGUGCUCCAGGUGGAUACACCACACCUGUCCAGGUGUUGCAGGUGAAGCUUUUGGGUUCUUC